CCCUUAGAUGUUCUGGGCCGCACGCGCGCUACACUGAUGCAUUCAACGAGUCUAAAACCUGCUCUGAUAGGGGUGGGCAAUCUUUUGAAUGUGCAUCGUGAUUGGGAUAGAUGAUUGCAAUUUUUCAUCUUCAACGAGGAAUGCCUAGUAAACGCAAGUCAUCAGCUUGCAUUGAUUACGUCCCUGCCCUUUGUACACACCGCCCGUCGCUCCUACCGAUUGAAUGAUCCGAUGAAUAUCAUGGAUUGAGGAUGCAAGUAGGUUAGCCUAUCUUCAUCUUCGAGAAGUGAAGUAAAUCUUAUCAUUUAGAGGAAGGAGAAGUCGUAACA
Molecule: ribosomal RNA, 329 nt
Filed under: uncultured eukaryote
Lineage: Eukaryota
Description: partial 18S ribosomal RNA
Rfam family: Eukaryotic small subunit ribosomal RNA
Source: RNAcentral